GACCAGACUCCUACGGGAGGCAGCAGUGAGGAAUAUUGGUCAAUGGCCGUAAGGCUGAACCAGCCAAGUAGCGUGAGGGAAGACUGCCCUAUGGGUUGUAAACCUCUUUUAUGCGGGGAUAAAGGUGUCCACGUGUGGAUGUUUGCAGGUACCGCAUGAAUAAGGACCGGCUAAUUCCGUGCCAGCAGCCGCGGUAAUACGGAAGGUCCGGGCGUUAUCCGGAUUUAUUGGGUUUAAAGGGAGCGUAGGCCGGUCUUUAAGCGUGCCGUGAAAUUUUGUGGCUCAACCAUGAGAGUGCGGCGCGAACUGGAGACCUUGAGUGCGCGGAAGGCAGGCGGAAUUCGUGGUGUAGCGGUGAAAUGCUUAGAUAUCACGAAGAACUCCGAUUGCGAAGGCAGCUUACCAGUCUGCGACUGACGCUCAGGCACGAAAGUGUGGGUAUCGAACAGGAUUAGAUACCCUUGUA
Molecule: ribosomal RNA, 466 nt
Filed under: uncultured bacterium
Lineage: Bacteria
Description: partial 16S ribosomal RNA
Rfam family: Bacterial small subunit ribosomal RNA
Source: RNAcentral